This 281-nucleotide long non-coding RNA is filed under the name Medicago truncatula (barrel medic). RNAcentral's name for it is "lncRNA gene37092". Lineage: Eukaryota; Viridiplantae; Streptophyta; Magnoliopsida; Fabales; Fabaceae. The record is from RNAcentral.
GGGGUGCUUUAGAGCUUCAGAUGCAGAAGGUCGCUUCUUCGGGUUAACCUCCAGCAAAUGAUCAACAAAGUCAAUGAAGCCUUGGUCCCUUAUCGGUAAUCUAUGCCUCAAAGAUGUCUUCUUUGGAAUCAGUUCAACAAUGGAAACGAAUCAAAAGUGGUAAAGUCAGAUGAUUAAGUUGAUAGAUAUUUCUCAAACCACUUUGAAUAUAGCUUUGAAGAAUAGUCCUUAUAAUGGAAUUCAGUUCUUUCUGAAAUAUGACAAGUGUGAAUAGUUAUAUU